RNAcentral lists this ribosomal RNA (482 nucleotides) under uncultured bacterium. RNAcentral's name for it is "partial 16S ribosomal RNA". It matches the Rfam family "Bacterial small subunit ribosomal RNA", at positions 30 to 507 of the family's 1533-position model. The record is from RNAcentral.
AUUGAACGCUGGCGGCAUGCCUUACACAUGCAAGUCGAACGGUAACGGGCCUUCGGGUGCCGACGAGUGGCGCACGGGUGCGUAAUACAUCGGAACGUGCCCGAUCGUGGGGGAAAAGGAGGCAAAAGCUUUGCUAAUACCGAAUACGAUCUACGAUUGAAAGCCGGGGACCGCAAGGCUUUGCGCGGACGGAGCGGCCGAUGGCAGAUUAGGUAGUUGGUGGGAUAAAAGCUUACCAAGCCGACGAUCUGUAGCUGGUCUGAGAGGAUGAUCAGCCACACUGGGACUGAGACACGGCCCAGACUCCUACGGGAGGCAGCAGUGGGGAAUUUUGGACAAUGGGCGCAAGCCUGAUCCAGCCAUGCCGCGUGCAGGAUGAAGGCCUUCGGGUUGUAAACUGCUUUUGUACGGAACGAAAAGCCUUCUUUUAAUACAGGAGGGUCAUGACGGUACCGUAAGAAUAAGCACCGGCUAACUACGUG